RNAcentral lists this ribosomal RNA (253 nucleotides) under uncultured bacterium. RNAcentral's name for it is "partial 16S ribosomal RNA". It matches the Rfam family "Bacterial small subunit ribosomal RNA", at positions 524 to 776 of the family's 1533-position model. The record is from RNAcentral.
UACGUAGGGGGCAAGCGUUGUCCGGAUUUAUUGGGCGUAAAGCGCUCGCAGGCGGCUCGAUGCGUCGUGCGUGAAACACCCCGGCUCAACUGGGGAGGGUCGUGCGAUACGGUCGGGCUGGAGGCCAGUAGGGGGAUGCGAAAUUCCGGGUGUAGUGGUGGAAUGCGUAGAGAUCCGGAGGAACACCAGCGGCGAAGGCGGCAUCCUGGACUGGUCCUGACGCUCAGGAGCGAAAGCGUGGGGAGCGAGCCGG